GGGGAAGGGUGGGCUGGUAGUAUAAGUAGCGGCGCCUGGUGCAGUCCGGCAUCACAACUCAGUCAGCAACACAACAAGCAACAUGAUGUCUGCCAAGGUCUUCGUGGUGGCCGCCCUAGUGGCUGUGGCCUGCGCCGCCCCCCGCCCCGACACCCCCCAGUCCUACGGGCCUCCUCCUACCCAUACCUACAAGGAGCCAGGUAUGCCCUACGACUUUGCCUACGCCGUCAAGGACGACUACACCGGCAACGACUUCGCCCACGACGAGAACAGCGACGGCACCGUGACCUCCGGCUCCUACAGGGUGCUCCUGCCCGACGGCCGCACCCAGAUCGUCACCUUCAACGCCGACCACACCAACGGCUACGUCGCUGAAGUCGCCUACGAGGGAGAGGCCUCCUAUCCCGCCCCCGCACCAGCCCCCUACGGGCCACCCGCCCCCUACGCCUAAGCCCCAACAGCCCGAGGACUGCCACCGCCCACUCUACACGCCCACCAAGCUGCGACAGGUCAGCUUGGCAGUGUCCCAGAGUGGGGCGGACGGUCCUGCCCUCCAUGAUGUAACUUAAUGUAUUAUCUUGCCAUAACUUAAGGUCCUCUGGUGGCCGCCGUGAGAACAACAUUAAAUUAUUGUUGUAAAUAAAAUACAAUGACGAGUACGAAA
This 664-nucleotide unclassified non-coding RNA is filed under the name Homarus americanus (American lobster). RNAcentral's name for it is "cuticle protein 19-like, transcript variant X1". The record is from RNAcentral. Lineage: Eukaryota; Metazoa; Arthropoda; Malacostraca; Decapoda; Nephropidae.